This 497-nucleotide ribosomal RNA is filed under the name uncultured bacterium. Its description in RNAcentral is "partial 16S ribosomal RNA". It matches the Rfam family "Bacterial small subunit ribosomal RNA", at positions 28 to 507 of the family's 1533-position model. The record is from RNAcentral.
GAUGAACGCUGGCGGCGUGCCUAAUACAUGCAAGUCGAGCGAACAGACGAGGAGCUUGCUCCUCUGACGUUAGCGGCGGACGGGUGAGUAACACGUGGAUAACCUACCUAUAAGACUGGGAUCAUUUCGGGAAACCGGAGCUAAUCCCGGAUAAUAUAUUGAACCGCAUGGUUCAAUAGUGAAAGUCGGUUUUGCUGUCACUUAUAGCUGGAUCUCGGCCGCUUUAGCUGGUUGUGAGGUUAACGGCUUACCAAGGCAACUAGGCGUAGCCGACGGGAGAGGGUGGUAGGCCACACUGGAACUGAGACGGGGUCCAUACGACUACGGGAGGGAGCAGAAGGGAACGGUCCGCAGUAGGCGGAAGCCUGGCGGAACAACGCCGCGUGAGUGGUGGAGGUCUUCGGAUCGUAAAACUCUGUUAUUAGGGAAAAACAACUGUGGAAGUAGCUAUGCCCGUCUUGACGGUACCUAAUCAGAAAGCCACGGCUAACUACGUG